This 253-nucleotide ribosomal RNA is filed under the name uncultured bacterium. Its description in RNAcentral is "partial 16S ribosomal RNA". It matches the Rfam family "Bacterial small subunit ribosomal RNA", at positions 524 to 776 of the family's 1533-position model. The record is from RNAcentral.
UACGUAGGGGGCAAGCGUUGUCCGGAUUUAUUGGGCGUAAAGAGCGUGUAGGCGGCUUUACAGGUCCGCUGUGAAAACUCGAGGCUCAACCUCGAGACGCCGGUGGAAACCGUAAAGCUAGAGUCCGGAAGAGGAGAGUGGAAUUCCUGGUGUAGCGGUGAAAUGCGCAGAUAUCAGGAAGAACACCCGUGGCGAAGGCGGCUCUCUGGGACGGUACUGACGCUGAGACGCGAAAGCGUGGGGAGCGAACAGG